GCGAAAGUGGCGGAAUUGGUAGACGCACCAGAUUUAGGUUCUGGCGCCGCAAGGUGUGGGGGUUCGAGUCCCCCCUUUCGCA
This 82-nucleotide transfer RNA is filed under the name Nitrosomonas marina. RNAcentral's name for it is "tRNA_Leu_TAG". It matches the Rfam family "tRNA". From Rfam's summary of the family: Transfer RNA (tRNA) molecules are approximately 80 nucleotides in length. Their secondary structure includes four short double-helical elements and three loops (D, anti-codon, and T loops). The record is from RNAcentral. RNAcentral also lists the same sequence under 2 other names. Lineage: Bacteria; Pseudomonadati; Pseudomonadota; Betaproteobacteria; Nitrosomonadales; Nitrosomonadaceae.